RNAcentral lists this ribosomal RNA (913 nucleotides) under uncultured Bacteroidota bacterium. RNAcentral describes it as "bacterial SSU rRNA". It matches the Rfam family "Bacterial small subunit ribosomal RNA", at positions 15 to 917 of the family's 1533-position model. Lineage: Bacteria; Pseudomonadati; Bacteroidota. The record is from RNAcentral.
GAUUAUGGCUCAGGAUGAACGCUAGCUACAGGCUUAACACAUGCAAGUCGAGGGGAAACGACAUCGAAAGCUUGCUUUUGAUGGGCGUCGACCGGCGCACGGGUGAGUAACGCGUAUCCAACCUGCCCACCACUUGGGGAUAACCUUGCGAAAGUAAGACUAAUACCCAAUGAUAUCUCUAGAAGACAUCUGAAAGAGAUUAAAGAUUUAUCGGUGAUGGAUGGGGAUGCGUCCGAUUAGCUUGUUGGCGGGGUAACGGUCCACCAAGGCUACGAUCAGUAGGGGUUCCGAGAGGAAGGUCCCCCACAUUGGAACUGAGACACGGUCCAAACUCCUACGGGAGGCAGCAGUGAGGAAUAUUGGUCAAUGGACGAGAGUCUGAACCAGCCAAGUAGCGUGCAGGAUGACGGCCCUAUGGGUUGUAAACUGCUUUUAUAAGGGAAUAAAGUGAGUCUCGUGAGACUUUUUGCACGUACCUUAUGAAUAAGGACCGGCUAAUUCCGUGCCAGCAGCCGCGGUAAUACGGAGGGUUCGGGCGUUAUCCGGAUUUAUUGGGUUUAAAGGGAGCGUAGGCCGGAGAUUAAGCGUGUUGUGAAAUGUAGAUGCUCAACAUCUGCACUGCAGCGCGAACUGGUUUCCUUGAGUACGCACAAAGUGGGCGGAAUUCGUGGUGCAGCGGUGAAAUGCUUAGAUAUCACGAAGAACUCCGAUUGCGAAGGCAGCUCACUGGAGCGCAACUGACGCUGAAGCUCGAAAGUGCGGGUAUCGAACAGGAUUAGAUACCCUGGUAGUCCGCACGGUAAACGAUGGAUGCCCGCUGUCGGUCUGAAUAGGUCAGCGGCCAAGCGAAAGCAUUAAGCAUCCCACCUGGGGAGUACGCCGGCAACGGUGCAAAGUCAAAGGAAUUGACGGA